Molecule: ribosomal RNA, 379 nt
Filed under: uncultured bacterium
Lineage: Bacteria
Description: bacterial SSU rRNA
Rfam family: Bacterial small subunit ribosomal RNA
Source: RNAcentral
UAACACGUAGGGGCCAAGCGUUGUCCGGAUUUAUUGGGCGUAAAGAGCUCGUAGGCGGUUGGGUAAGUCGGGUGUGAAAACUCCAGGCUCAACUUGGAGACGCCACCCGAUACUGCUCUGACUUGAGUUCGGUAGGGGAGUGGGGAAUUCCUGGUGUAGCGGUGAAAUGCGCAGAUAUCAGGAGGAACACCGGUGGCGAAGGCGCCACUCUGGGCCGAAACUGACGCUGAGGAGCGAAAGCGUGGGUAGCAAACAGGAUUAGAUACCCUGGUAGUCCACGCCGUAAACGUUGGGCACUAGGUGUGGGCCCUAACCAACGGGGUCCGUGCCGUAGCUAACGCAUUAAGUGCCCCGCCUGGGGAGUACGGCCGCAAGGUUA